UUAAGUUCAGCGGGUAGUCCUACCUGAUUUGAGGUCAAAUUCGUCAAAUAUAUUGGCUGUUAGAAGCGGUGCAAUCUGCUCAUGCAGCAUACCAAAGGCAUAGAUAACUUAUCACACCUAAAUGGUAUAGUAGUUCUGCUCAGAUACCACUAAUGCAUUUCAGGGGAGCCGACCUCAGGGUCAGAGGCCUGCACAAAACC
This 200-nucleotide unclassified non-coding RNA is filed under the name Inocybe sp. RNAcentral describes it as "partial internal transcribed spacer 2". Lineage: Eukaryota; Fungi; Basidiomycota; Agaricomycetes; Agaricales; Inocybaceae. The record is from RNAcentral.